Molecule: transfer RNA, 70 nt
Filed under: Euproctis similis
Lineage: Eukaryota; Metazoa; Arthropoda; Insecta; Lepidoptera; Erebidae
Description: tRNA-Leu
Source: RNAcentral
ACUAUUUUGGCAGAAAAAUGUAAUGAUUUUAGAUUUCAUAAAUAUAUAAAUUAAGUUUAUAUAAAUAGUA